AGCAGCCGCGGUAAUUCCAGCUCCAAUAGCGUAUAUUAAAGUUGUUGCAGUUAAAAAGCUCGUAGUUGAACUUCAGGCCUGGCUGGAUGGUCCGCCUUCUGGGUGAGUACUGUCUGUGGUCGGGUCCUACCUUCUGGCGAAGCGUCAUGGCCUUAACCGGCCGUGGCGGGGAGCCAGGACUUUUACUGUGAAAAAUUAGAGUGUUCAAAGCAGGCACGCGCUUGAAUACAUUAGCAUGGAAUAAUGGAAUAGGACAGUGGUUCUAUUUGUUGGUUUCUAGGACCGUUGUAAUGAUUAAUAGGGAUAGUUGGGGGCAUUAGUAUUCAAUUGUCAGAGGUGAAAUUCUUGGAUUUAUUGAAGACUAACUACUGCGAAAGCAUUUGCCAAGGAUGUUUUCAUUAAUCAAGAACGAAAGUUAGGGGAUCGAAGACGAUCAGAUACCGUCGUAGUCUUAACCAUAAACUAUGCCAACUAGGAAUCGGG
This 483-nucleotide ribosomal RNA is filed under the name uncultured Glomus. RNAcentral describes it as "SSU rRNA". It matches the Rfam family "Eukaryotic small subunit ribosomal RNA", at positions 569 to 1057 of the family's 1831-position model. The record is from RNAcentral. Lineage: Eukaryota; Fungi; Glomeromycota; Glomeromycetes; Glomerales; Glomeraceae.